Molecule: long non-coding RNA, 1058 nt
Filed under: Coturnix japonica (Japanese quail)
Lineage: Eukaryota; Metazoa; Chordata; Aves; Galliformes; Phasianidae
Description: lncRNA (ENSCJPG00005000445.1)
Source: RNAcentral
GUUCUUCUGUGAAGGUAAAGCUAUGGGGUGAUAUGGGGUGAUAUGGGGUGAUAUGGGGUCUCUAUGGGGUGAUAUGGGGUGAUAUGGGGUCUCUAUGGGGUGAUAUGGGGUCUCUAUGGGGUGAUAUGGGGUGAUAUGGGGUCUCUAUGGGGUGAUAUAGGGUGAUAUGGGGUCUCUCUGGGGUGAUAUGGGGGGAUAUGGGGUGAUAUGGGGCGAUAUGGGGUGAUAUGGGGGGAUAUGGGGUCUCUAUGGGGUGAUAUGGGGCGAUAUGGGGUCUCUAUGGGGUGAUAUAGGGUGAUAUGGGGUCUCUAUGGGGUGAUAUGGGGUCUCUAUGGGGUGAUAUAGGGUGAUAUGGGGUCUCUAUGGGGUGAUAUGGGGUCUCUAUGGGGUGAUAUGGGGGGAUAUGGGGUCUCUAUGGGGUGAUAUGGGGCGAUAUGGGGUCUCUAUGGGGUGAUAUAGGGUGAUAUGGGUUCUCUAUGGGGUGAUAUGGGGUGAUAUGGGGUCUCUCUGGGGUGAUAUGGGGGGAUAUGGGGUGAUAUGGGGCGAUAUGGGGUGAUAUGGGGUCACUAUGGGGUCUUUAUGGGGCUCUAUGGGGCACUAUGGGGCUCUAUGGGGUAAUAUGGGGUGAUAUGGGGUCUCUAUGGGGUGAUAUGGGGUCUCUAUGGGGUGCUAUUGGGUCAUUAUGGGGUUCUAUGAGUUCUAUGGGGUCCUCAUUGGGUUCUAUUGCUCGCUAUGGGGCAGGGGUGAAGGUGAUGUUCCGUGUGGGGCUAUGGGGUCCUCAUUGGGUUCUAUGGGGUCUAUGGGGUCCUCAUUGGGUUCUAUGGGGUCUAUGGGAUCCUCAUUGGGUUCUAUGGGGUCCUCAUUGGGUUCUAUGGGUUCUAUGGGGUCCUCAUUGGGUUCUAUGGGUUCUAUGGGGUCCCCAUUGGGUUCUAUGGGGUCUGUGGGGUCCUCAUUGAGUUCUAUGGGAUCCUCAUUGGGUUCUAUGGGGUCCUCAUUGGGUUCUAUGGGGUCUAUGGGGUCCCCAUUGGGUUCUAUGUGGUCCCCAUUGAGUUCUAUGG